This 559-nucleotide ribosomal RNA is filed under the name Streptosporangium sp. 415E06. RNAcentral describes it as "bacterial SSU rRNA". It matches the Rfam family "Bacterial small subunit ribosomal RNA", at positions 93 to 671 of the family's 1533-position model. The record is from RNAcentral. Lineage: Bacteria; Bacillati; Actinomycetota; Actinomycetes; Streptosporangiales; Streptosporangiaceae.
GAGCGGCGAACGGGUGAGUAACACGUGAGUAACCUGCCCCUGACUUCGGGAUAAGCCUGGGAAACUGGGUCUAAUACCGGGUAUGACCUUNANCGGCAUCGCUNGGGGUGGAAAGUUUUUCGGUUGGGGAUGGGCUCGCGGCCUAUCAGCUUGUUGGUGGGGUAGUGGCCUACCAAGGCGACGACGGGUAGCCGGCCUGAGAGGGCGACCGGCCACACUGGGACUGAGACACGGCCCAGACUCCUACGGGAGGCAGCAGUGGGGAAUAUUGCGCAAUGGGCGGAAGCCUGACGCAGCGACGCCGCGUGGGGGAUGACGGCCUUCGGGUUGUAAACCUCUUUCAGCAGGGACGAAGUUGACGUGUACCUGUAGAAGAAGCGCCGGCUAACUACGUGCCAGCAGCCGCGGUAAUACGUAGGGCGCGAGCGUUGUCCGGAAUUAUUGGGCGUAAAGAGCUCGUAGGUGGCUUGUCGCGUCUGCCGUGAAAGCCCAUGGCUUAACUGUGGGUCUGCGGUGGAUACGGGCUGGCUAGAGGUAGGUAGGGGCAAGCGGAAUUCCU